GAUGAACGCUAGCUACAGGCUUAACACAUGCAAGUCGAGGGGUAACGAGAGGAAAGCUUGCUUUCCUUGUCGACGGCCGGCGCACGGGUGAGUAACGCGUAUCCAACCUGCCCCCAACUAGGGAAUAACCUUGCGAAAGUAAGACUACUACCCUAUAAUUUCCUCAGAUGACAUCUGACGAGGAAUAAAGAUUUAUCGGUUGUGGAUGGGGAUGCGUGUGAUUAGCUUGUUGGCGGGGUAACGGCCCACCAAGGCAACGAUCAGUAGGGGUUCUGAGAGGAAGGUCCCCCACAUUGGAACUGAGACACGGUCCAAACUCCUACGGGAGGCAGCAGUGAGGAAUAUUGGUCAAUGGGCGGAAGCCUGAACCAGCCAAGUAGCAUGCAGGAUGACGGCCCUAUGGGUUGUAAACUGCUUUUAUACAGGAAUAAAGUUAGCCACGUGUGGUUAUUUGUAGGUACUGUAUGAAUAAGGACCGGCUAAUUCUGUGCCAGCCGCCGCGGUAA
RNAcentral lists this ribosomal RNA (506 nucleotides) under uncultured bacterium. RNAcentral's name for it is "partial 16S ribosomal RNA". It matches the Rfam family "Bacterial small subunit ribosomal RNA", at positions 28 to 523 of the family's 1533-position model. The record is from RNAcentral.